CAAACUAAAAAUAUGUCGCAGGACAGUCUGUCUAGGAUGUCCAGAACCCUGGAGGAUGCUGCCUCGCAGUGGGGGUCCAGACAUGUGAUGUUCGCUGGAGGAUGCAGGAGAUAACCACGCAGAAUGUCUCUUUUCUCUACCUCCUGGUUUGAGUAUGACCCCUCCCCUGGCUUGUGACCCUUCACUUGGAUAUCACUCCUGGCAUUUGGCUCUGGGACAGACUACUCAUGUUGAACCAUAGACAUAUUCUUGAUUCAAGAACACAUCUAAGUCUAAUGGCACAGGGCCCCCGUCUCUCUGGCUGACAGCAGGUUACCAUGAUCUUCAAGAGGCAGCAAUGGGAAUACGUUCCUAGAACAACAAAGAGAGAAGGAGUUUAUCGAGCCCCCCAAGCCCCCUCCGUCAGAGUGAAGCUCACCUAGAAGCCCUCCCUCAUCAUGGGAUCUGAGACAACACACACUUACUUUCGCUGCUCUUCACUACUCCGAGGACAGUAGUUGUUUUCUUUGCCGUGUGUGUGUGUGUGUGUGUGUGUGUGUGUGUGUGUGUGUGUGUGUG
Oncorhynchus gorbuscha (pink salmon) is the source of this 558-nucleotide long non-coding RNA. RefSeq lists it as uncharacterized. The record is from RefSeq and is a predicted model, not a curated record. NCBI's taxonomy places the organism in Eukaryota, Metazoa, Chordata, Actinopteri, Salmoniformes, Salmonidae. The transcript is spliced from 3 exons.